AUUGAACGCUGGCGGCAUGCCUUACACAUGCAAGUCGAACGGCAGCACGGGUGCUUGCACCUGGUGGCGAGUGGCGAACGGGUGAGUAAUACAUCGGAACAUGUCCUGUAGUGGGGGAUAGCCCGGCGAAAGCCGGAUUAAUACCGCAUACGAUCCACGGAUGAAAGCGGGGGACCUUCGGGCCUCGCGCUAUAGGGUUGGCCGAUGGCUGAUUAGCUAGUUGGUGGGGUAAAGGCCUACCAAGGCGACGAUCAGUAGCUGGUCUGAGAGGACGACCAGCCACACUGGAACUGAGACACGGCCCAGACUCCUACGGGAGGCAGCAGUGGGGAAUUUUGGACAAUGGGCGAAAGCCUGAUCCAGCAAUGCCGCGUGUGUGAAGAAGGCCUUCGGGUUGUAAAGCACUUUUGUCCGGAAAGAAAUCCUUGACUCUAAUACAGUCGGGGGAUGACGGUACCGGAAGAAUAAGCACCGGCUAACUACGUG
This 486-nucleotide ribosomal RNA is filed under the name uncultured bacterium. RNAcentral describes it as "partial 16S ribosomal RNA". It matches the Rfam family "Bacterial small subunit ribosomal RNA", at positions 30 to 507 of the family's 1533-position model. The record is from RNAcentral.